UACCGAGGUGGCAAGCGUUGUUCGGAAUUACUGGGCGUAAAGGGCGCGUAGGCGGCCUACUAAGUCAGACGUGAAAUCCCCCGGCUUAACCUGGGAACUGCGUCUGAUACUGGAAGGCUUGAGUAUGGGAGAGGGAUGUAGAAUUCCAGGUGUAGCGGUGAAAUGCGUAGAUAUCUGGAGGAAUACCGGUGGCGAAAGCGACUCUCUGGACGGCAACUGACGCUGAGGCACGAAAGCGUGGGGAGCAAACAGG
This 253-nucleotide ribosomal RNA is filed under the name uncultured bacterium. RNAcentral describes it as "partial 16S ribosomal RNA". It matches the Rfam family "Bacterial small subunit ribosomal RNA", at positions 524 to 776 of the family's 1533-position model. The record is from RNAcentral.